GAUGAAUGCUAGCUACAGGCUUAACACAUACAAGUCGAGGGGAAACGACAUCGAAAGCUUGCUUUUGAUGGGCGUCGACCGGCGCACGGGUGAGUAACGCGUAUCCAACCUGCCCAUCACUUGGGAAUAACCUUGCGAAAGUAAGACUAAUACCCAAUGAUAUCCCACGAAGGCAUCGGAAUGGGAUUAAAGAUUUAUCGGUGAUGGAUGGGGAUGCGUCUGAUUAGCUUGUUGGCGGGGUAACGGCCCACCAAGGCAACGAUCAGUAGGGGUUCUGAGAGGAAGGUCCCCCACAUUGGAACUGAGACACGGUCCAAACUCCUACGGGAGGCAGCAGUGAGGAAUAUUGGUCAAUGGGCGAGAGCCUGAACCAGCCAAGUAGCGUGCAGGAAGACGGCCCUAUGGGUUGUAAACUGCUUUUAUAAGGGAAUAAAGUGGGUCACGUGUGACUUUUUGCAUGUACCUUAUGAAUAAGGACCGGCUAAUUCCGUG
Molecule: ribosomal RNA, 492 nt
Filed under: uncultured bacterium
Lineage: Bacteria
Description: partial 16S ribosomal RNA
Rfam family: Bacterial small subunit ribosomal RNA
Source: RNAcentral